UAGGGAAUCUUCGGCAAUGGACGGAAGUCUGACCGAGCAACGCCGCGUGAGUGAAGAAGGUUUUCGGAUCGUAAAGCUCUGUUGUAAGAGAAGAACGAGUGUGAGAGUGGAAAGUUCACACUGUGACGGUAUCUUACCAGAAAGGGACGGCUAACUACGUGCCAGCAGCCGCGGUAAUACGUAGGUCCCGAGCGUUGUCCGGAUUUAUUGGGCGUAAAGCGAGCGCAGGCGGUUAGAUAAGUCUGAAGUUAAAGGCUGUGGCUUAACCAUAGUAGGCUUUGGAAACUGUUUAACUUGAGUGCAAGAGGGGAGAGUGGAAUUCCAUGUGUAGCGGUGAAAUGCGUAGAUAUAUGGAGGAACACCGGUGGCAAAAGCGGCUCUCUGGCUUGUAACUGACGCUGAGGCUCGAAAGCGUGGGGAGCAAACAGGAUUAGAUACCCUGGUAGUCCACGCUGUAAACGAUGAGUGCUAGGUGUUAGACCCUUUCCGGGGUUUAGUGCCGUAGCUAACGCAUUAAGCACUCCGCCUGGGGAGUACGACCGCAAGGUUG
This 550-nucleotide ribosomal RNA is filed under the name uncultured bacterium. Its description in RNAcentral is "bacterial SSU rRNA". It matches the Rfam family "Bacterial small subunit ribosomal RNA", at positions 355 to 896 of the family's 1533-position model. The record is from RNAcentral.